Molecule: long non-coding RNA, 4233 nt
Organism: Triticum dicoccoides
Lineage: Eukaryota; Viridiplantae; Streptophyta; Magnoliopsida; Poales; Poaceae
Exons: 8
Source: RefSeq, a predicted model, not a curated record
CUCUCCCCGCGUCCCAGCCCCCGCUCGCCCCGCCCUCUCCCCUUCCUCUCCCUCCCUCAGACCUCGCCGCCCCGCUCACAUCGCUGCCGCCGAAGCCCUCAGACCACGCCGCGGUGGACCUCUCUCCUCCCCGCCCCGCCCGUCCCGCUCGCCGUGGCCGUGGCCGAUGACCGCGGCCCCGCCGUCCCGCCCCGCCCGCCGCGGCGGCCAUGGACGAGCUCGAGCUCGACAGGGGAGCAACGGGGAGAGGAACAUGAGGCUAGGGGGAGGAAGAAGAUGGCCACCGCCGCCGGAUCACCGCCGCGCCUCUGCUUCAACCCUAACCCUAGCGUUGCUGCUGCUGCUCAAGGUGCACGCAUGCGUCCAACGGUGAACCCUAGCCUCGGACAGCAGCAGCGGCCAUCACCAAUGACAGCAGCGACAGGAGCAGCCAGCAGCUCAGGUGCACCUAUCUCUUCCAGGAGCACGGCGCCCACCCCACCCACUACCCCUUCCCCCGCCAGCCAUGGGAGCUGGUGGCCUGCCUCUCCUCAGAUCGUGACCUGAAGCCGGCUCAGACUUCAGGACUAUGUUUAAACAUUCAACAACUCUGGCCAACAUAUGAAACAAGACCAAGUCUCGCAUGGGGAUGCAACCCAUCCUCUGCUUGCUUCCAGCACGGCGCCGGCCGGAUCCACCUCGGCCACAACCACGACACCGGCAUUGGCAGCCAUGUGCUUCUUCUCCAUCACCACAAAAUGAGAAUGCAAGGCACAAGCAAGGGAAGACCAUCGCUUCGCUCCUCUGGGCCGCCGCUGCUACAACCCUACUGGACGCCAUGCAAGGUUUUUUGGUGCGUUUGUGCUCGUCGGCGGGACGGUGCAAGGCGCAACUCCGACGUGGUUCCUUGCUGGUUGGACGGCGUUCACGCGCAACCCCGGCGUGCACAGAGUACUGCCUCGGUGAGCUCCAUCUUCCUCCUGCUCCGCUGCUUCGGCUACUGUAUGGGACAUGGCCAUGGCUAUAUUGAUCCAUCCAUCCAUCCAGAAAUAAGAAUAGAAGCUCCUCAGGCCGCACCACAGCGAUUUGGGAUUCCUGACCGUCGGAUCAGGUGGCUUGAUCGGAUCUGGGCCGUCGGGUCGACCCCUGUAACGACCUCGUCCGUCGGAUAAAAAAAAGUUACUACUGGAAUGAAUAGUUACUCCCAUUUCGUGCCAUCGCUCAUAAAUAGCCUGCCCCGCCGGGGGCAUUCUCGCCAUUUCGCUUUGUCUAUGGCGGUGGCGUUCGUGCUAGGGCGAUGAUGAUUAACUGUGGCUGGAAUAAGUGUGCCUUUGAGCAAUCAAGGCACCUGUGGGUAUCAAGUUGGAUCCUCCCUGUUGUCUCUAGAAUCCUUUUUGAUCCUGUGAUACCUAUUGAUCUGUCCUUGGAUGGUCAUUCUUGUUGAGUGAUAACCAGGGCAGCUCCAUUGUGUAAACAGAUUGAUCUGGUGAUAAAAGAUGAUGGGGAUAGGUUAUAUGAUCGAGAAAAGGCGAAUUUGAGCCCACUAUGCAAUAAAACUACAGCUACCUCCCCUAAUGUGUGUAGUAUUGAAGGCAAAAGAGAACUUUUAAUGUCUUGCUACUUUAAAAUUCCAAAAAGGUGCAUUCUUCCUUUGCUGGUUACUUAACCAUGAUUUUUUGUUUUGCUUUGGUUCUGGUUGAGAUACUAAAGGUUGUUUAUAUAUGAAAAUAAUAGACACUUGUAGUUUUGUAUGCCUCACCUGUAGCUUAGGAUCCAGUGUUGUAAUGUUUUGCCUGGGUAAAAAUAACUCUAAUCAAUAAUAGUGGUUCUAUCCUUCUGAUUUGAACUGGGAGAGGGCCACUGAUUCUUGAUCUUAAGGUGACCCUAUUUUUCUAUGCCUCAUGCUCAUGCUGCUCUAUGUUCCCUUUUAAAGAUUCUUGCUUGCAUUUUGGGUUGGUCUUCUGCUCUAUGUUCCCUUUUAGCAUUUCUUUCCGCUGUUGAUGCAUUCCCUUUUUUGUAUAUUACAUGUUCUUUUGUAUCUCAUUCUGCAUGAAACAUAACUAAAUAAUACAUUGAGAUGAAAGGUUAUAUAUGAUAUCAUUGAGAGGAGCAUGCCAACAUCCCUACCUCCCUCUUCAACUCCCACCCAACACAAUUGUGGUGAGCUCCCCCUCUCAUCUACCUGCUAUUUGUACCUUCGGUUUUGGAUGCAUACAAAUUGUGUAUGCCAUGACUGAAACUCGAGCAGCAAAUUGUGUGUGUGUGUGUGCGCGCGCGCACAUCACGUUUUUGUUUAAUUUUGGAUGGCUCAAACCGGCUGGAGCCAACUUUGUGUGUGUGUGAGUGCGCAUCCAUUGCAUGUAAAAAUCUUGUUUUUUCCAAACUCUUCUACUGUCGGAUAUGUAGAUAAAUUGCUUAUUUGGGCAGUUGUAGUACUCCAUGCGAUUGUCAAGGAUCUGCACUUUCAUCACACUAAAUGUAGUUGACUAAAAAGGUAAGUUAUGCCUUCUCUCUCGCUAAUCAAUUUUCUCUUGGCUAUUCUUUCUUUGCAAAUGAUCAUAUUUUGUGUAUUUUCACUAUGUAUUCUUGUAUCUAUAUAUGUUGAGCAGAUUGUUUCCUCUAUGACCAUGAUUCUAUAUGAUUACUGAGGUCUCUAACCUUCUCUUCUUUUCUAAUUAGAACAUGAUACUAAUCUGAUGUAUCUCCUAUUUGCGAUGACUAUUAAAUAUGGAGUUUCUGUGUUGUCUAAUGAAGCAGUCAAGUAUGCAAUCUGAGCAGAAUAUCAUUAAAAGGUCAUUGACCCAACAAAUUGAACUUAAUCUGAACCUCCCCUGUUCCUGCUAAAUAUCCCUAUUUUUCUGAACUUAACAAAGAACAACAUCAUAUAUUAGAUCAGCACACAAGUGAACCAGAAAGCAUUUUAUUCAGUCUUGGUACCCUUAGUGUAAAAUUAUUCCUUACUGGUUGGGGAUUUGGAGGUGCAGUAUGUGGUUGGCGAAGGAUUUUUUUUCUCCUAGGCUCCACACAUUCUCUUCCAUCUAAAACAACCGAUGCGGUCAAGUGGUGUAGUAGUUGAUGGUCGAGAGCUAAAAUCAGGGCACUGUUUUGUUUUAGGAUUUGUGUAAUCUUUAGAUCCACCUUUACCAUCACAAUUAUUUGCCUGAGCUCUGGUGAUUACUCCCAAGGAUUACUCCACCAAAUAACAUUACCGAGGUAUCACUGUGUGUCUGGCUGUUUAUUCAUGUGUAGUACUACAGUGUGUGGCCUUCUCUGUUUUGUCAAAUGCCAGUACUUGCUUUGUGACCCUUGAUGUAUCAACCUGUAACCCUUUGAAACAUGACCUGUUGCCUAUUGAUAUUACUGAUAUAAAAGAGAUAUUUUGUUUUUGCUGAUGCAGGAGGGCAGCAGCCUCGACACGGCGAUCACGUCGCUCCUUAGCGUGGAGAUGUAGUGCCACCUGGCCGGCAGAAGGAAGUCCGCCGAUCGUCGAGAUCUGCUUCAAGGAUGGCGCCUGGAAGAAGCUCAAUGACCAGAUCAUCGUCCUCUCCAAGAGGAGGGGUCAGUUCAAGCAGGUUGGUCCGCUGUCUACAGGUGCUCGUUAUUCUGGCCAGUUUGUCGUGCUCUAUCUUCGACCACCUCUUUGCAGUAACUUUUUCCCGCCUUGCUGGAGGAGAUGAAGCACAUGGCAAAGCAGGAGUUCAUUGCGCACUUAAGAAGCAGAGGCGUCCUGGAGCACGGUGGAGGCAUUUUGGACGUGGAGCACGGCCUUGCGGUUCCUCGAGCCUAGGGAGGCCAUGCGAGAAACCUGGGGCAGCAAGGUACUGCCUCUUGCUGCUCCUCCCCCAUGUCUGGAGCUCGCCUGGAGCUCCCCCACGCCUUGAGCUCGCUAGAGCAGAGGCCUACGAAGCGCUCCCUGGGGCAAGGCCUGGGGCGAUCUGCAGGGAGGAACAGAGGCCUGGAGCUGCGGGGAGAAGAGGUCUGGAGCUGCAGGGAGGAGCAGAGGCCUGGAGCCGGCGGCGAGCUCUGUAGGCGACGACGCGAGGAAGGAGCGAAUCACGAGGGAGAGGUUGGAGCGGAUCGCCAACUUUUGAAUUGUAUAAGGAUGUAAUUGAAAAAUGUUGUUUAGUUCAAAAUGUGUCGGUUGCGACAGAUAUUUUGGGACGGAGAAAGUACUAUUGACAUAGAUACAAUUUAUUUAUCAAGGAUUUUUGUAUAUCAUAUUAUCAUAGGAAAAUGAUCUAUGUAUGCACUUUU